GGGGGCAUAGUACAAUGGUAGUACACCGCCUUUGCACGGUGGUGAUCUGAGUUCGAUUCUCAGUGCCUCCA
This 71-nucleotide transfer RNA is filed under the name Sterigmatomyces sp. RNAcentral describes it as "tRNA-Ala". It matches the Rfam family "tRNA". From Rfam's summary of the family: Transfer RNA (tRNA) molecules are approximately 80 nucleotides in length. Their secondary structure includes four short double-helical elements and three loops (D, anti-codon, and T loops). Further hydrogen bonds mediate the characteristic L-shaped molecular structure. tRNAs have two regions of fundamental functional importance: the anti-codon, which is responsible for specific mRNA codon recognition, and the 3' end, to which the tRNAs corresponding amino acid is attached (by aminoacyl-tRNA synthetases). tRNAs cope with the degeneracy of the genetic code in two manners: having more than one tRNA (with a specific anti-codon) for a particular amino acid; and 'wobble' base-pairing, i.e. permitting non-standard base-pairing at the 3rd anti-codon position. The record is from RNAcentral. Lineage: Eukaryota; Fungi; Basidiomycota; Agaricostilbomycetes; Agaricostilbales; Agaricostilbaceae.